This 1971-nucleotide ribosomal RNA is filed under the name Triticum aestivum (bread wheat). RNAcentral describes it as "partial small subunit ribosomal RNA". Lineage: Eukaryota; Viridiplantae; Streptophyta; Magnoliopsida; Poales; Poaceae. The record is from RNAcentral.
AUGGCACUCCGACGACCCUCAUUUCCUCCAUUCUUGUUACUUUGCUUCCACCUGCUGGCUCCAUUAUACACAACCUCCGAUGCAGCCGUGAGUUCACACAUGCCUCAAGCCAUGCAGUGUUCAACGUCUGGCAACUACAGCUCUGCCAGUGCCUACGCUGCCAACCUGAACCAGUUCCUUGCUUCGCUUCCCGAGAAGACCGUUUCCAAGAAUGGCGGCUUCUUCAACGGCACGGUCGGCGUGGGUGUGGGCACUGUGUAUGGCCUCGCGAUGUGCUCCGCUGACCACUCGCGCUCUGACUGCGGUGACUGCCUCGCGGCCACUGCUAGCAGCAGCGCUAAUGGUCUGCUGAACCGCUGCCCUGGGAGCACCACUGUGCUCGCCUGGUUUGACGCGUGCCUCGUCCGCUACUCAGACACCAACUUCUUUGGCACGGCUGAAUUAGGUGUUAUCUACACGUCGCAUGGUCCAACAUCCACGCAGCCAAAGCAGUACACUGACGACUUGGAGAGAAACUUAAACGUGGUGAUAAAGGCCGCAGUGGCCUCGCCUCAGAGAUUCGCGGCGUCGUCGACGUAUCCAUACACGUUGGUGCAGUGCACGUGGGACCUGCCGCCGGAACUGUGCAAGACGUGCCUGCACGUGUUGUUCGACAGUUGGUCCAAGGACUGGGUUUCCGUAGAUGGCAAGCGCAGGAGCUAUAGCUGUGCUGCUAGGUACAGCAACACCAGCUUCAUGGUUGUGACGUCCGGUGGUGCUCCUACGCCGCAAUUGGUAGAUCAAGCGGCCAGAUCAGAUACUGCUCAGUCCAGCGGCGGCAAAGACCAAGGUUCUCUGACAGCUGGCGUGGUGGGUCCUGUAGUUGGCCUAAUUUUGUUGGCUUGUGCAUGUUUGAUUUGGUAUCGACGGAAGGGCACGGCAGGGAAUGAACGAAAGUUUUUUCGUUUGCAAAACACAAUACAGACACAGACGGACACGCAAAAGCUUGCACACCCAAAUGCUCACAAAUUCACUUACCAACAAUUGGUGGACGCAACCCGUGACUUCACAGACACGCGAAGGCUUGGACAGGGUGCCUUUGGUGUUGUCUAUAAAGGUGCAGUGAUGGUGCAAGACAAAGAGGUGGACGUGGCUAUAAAAACGGCACUUGUUGUGUCAGAUGAAGCUAGGGCUGCCUUUAAGAACGAGGUUGAGAUUAUGAGCCCGCUGAACCAUUCCAACAUUAUACGUCUUGUGGGUUCGUGCGACGAAGAGGACAAUCUCUUACUUGUUUACGAACUAGUGGAGGAUCGCAACCUUCAGGCUCGGCUUUAUGGCCGUGGUGCUCGUGUGGACGCAGAACUAACCGGUGUAAGGGCUCGGGGUUCAAGCCUUGAUCUAGAUUGGCGGCAAAGGUAUAACAUACUGCUUGGAAUAACCUGGGGUCUUGAAUACCUCCAUGCUAAAUGCGCUAAAUGUGUCCUGCAUAGGGACAUCAAGCCAGGCAAUGUGAUGCUGGAUAGGGACUCCAAUGCUAAACUGUGUGACUUCGGGCUGGUGACGCAACUCACCCACGCAAUAACCUCACGCUCGACGAACAACAUCAUUGGAACACAAGUCUACAUGGACCCAGCAUACCGGAACACCGGGAAGAUAACUAAGGAAUCUGAUGUGUACAGCUUCGGUGUGCUGUUGCUUGAGGUUGUAUGUGGCGAGGAGCCAGUCCUAAUUGACGGCGCUGGGAAAAACAGCCUCAUCGAGAAGGUCCGAGAAUGUGAGAAGAGAAAUGCAAUUCUUGAUGCAGCUGACCAACAACUAAGGGGCGAGUUUGAUGAGGAAAUCAAAGCAGCACUAUCGAUUGGGCUCUGUUGUGUCGAAACAAGACGUGGUGACCGUCCAACAAUCCAAAUUGUGUUGGGCCGGUUAUUAAGCCUGACCGGCAAAUUAGCUUCCAAUAACCGCCAUCCAAACGCAGUGUGUGAUGAGGUGUGA